This 29-nucleotide non-coding RNA is filed under the name Cricetulus griseus (Chinese hamster). The record is from RNAcentral. Lineage: Eukaryota; Metazoa; Chordata; Mammalia; Rodentia; Cricetidae.
GUUUCCAUCUCUAACUCCCUCGUGUGCAG